This 500-nucleotide ribosomal RNA is filed under the name uncultured Myrionecta. RNAcentral's name for it is "bacterial SSU rRNA". It matches the Rfam family "Eukaryotic small subunit ribosomal RNA", at positions 1212 to 1800 of the family's 1831-position model. The record is from RNAcentral. Lineage: Eukaryota; Ciliophora; Litostomatea; Cyclotrichida; Mesodiniidae.
AACUUACCAGGUCAAGACAUGGGCGUGAUUGACAGGCUAAUGACUUUUCUCGAUUCCAUGGAUGGUGGUGCAUGGUCGCACUUAGUUGGUGCAGUGAUUUGUCAGGUUUAUUCCGGUAACGAACGAGACCUCGGCCUUGUAAAUAGCUAUGCUGCUUACAGGGACAUUGGCGGCUACGCCAAGGAAGCUCGAGGCAAUUGCAGAUCUGGAAUGCCCUUAGAUGUCCUGGGUCGCACGCGUGCUACAAUGACGCCACGAACGAGCUUGCGUGAUGAAAGUUACACAUAAUCAGCAGUCGGCGUCUUAAGGGAUAGUCUCUUGUAACUGUGGGACUCCAACUAGGAAUGUCUCGUAAGCACAAGUCAACAUCUUGUGUUGAUUACGUCCCUGCUCUUUGUACACACCGCCCGUCGCUCCUACCGAUCGAGUGUUUAGGUGAAUUUGAUGGACGUAAGGAAGUCAAAUAAACCUGAGCACUAGAGAAGAGAAGUCUACAAGCU